AAAACAUGUCUAUUUGAAGUUAUAAAUGGUCUGGCCUGCCCACUGAUAAAAUGAAGAUAUUAAAGGGCCGCGGUAUCCUGACCGUGCAAAGGUAGCAUAAUCAUUAGUUCUUUAAUUGGGAGCUUGUAUGAAGGGUCUGACAAAGGAAUGACUGUCUUUGUUAUAUGGUUUGAAUUUAACUUUUAAGUGAAAAGGCUUAAAUAAUUCAGGAGGACGAUAAGACCCUAUAAAGCUUUAUAUAUAUUAAUUUAAAUAAAUUGAAUUAUUAAAUAAAAAUUUAUGUUGAUUGUUAUAUUUUAUUGGGGUGAUAUAAAUAUAAAUUGUAUUAACUGUUUAAUUAGAGUACAUUGAAUAAAUGAGUUUGUAAAUGAAUAGAUCCUUUAUUUAAAGAUUAGAAGAUUAAGUUACUUUAGGGAUAACAGCGUAAUUUUUUUUAAGAGUUCAUAUCGAAAAAAGAGUUUGCGACCUCGAUGUUGAAUUAAAAUGUCUAUAUGGAGCAGCUGAUAUAUAAGAAGGUCUGUUCGACCUUUAAAUUUUUACAUGA
Molecule: ribosomal RNA, 544 nt
Filed under: Calocarcinus crosnieri
Lineage: Eukaryota; Metazoa; Arthropoda; Malacostraca; Decapoda; Trapeziidae
Description: partial 16S ribosomal RNA
Rfam family: Bacterial large subunit ribosomal RNA
Source: RNAcentral